GAUGAACGCUAGCGGCAGGCCUAACACAUGCAAGUCGAGGGGUAGAAGGAGCUUGCUCCUUUGAGACCGGCGCACGGGUGCGUAACGCGUAUGCAAUCUACCUUAUACAGGGGAAUAGCCCAGAGAAAUUUGGAUUAAUGCCCCAUAGCAUUACGACUUGGCAUCAAGAUGUAAUUAAAGUUCCAACGGUAUAAGAUGAGCAUGCGUCCCAUUAGUUAGUUGGUAAGGUAACGGCUUACCAAGACGAUGAUGGGUAGGGGUCCUGAGAGGGAGAUCCCCCACACUGGUACUGAGACACGGACCAGACUCCUACGGGAGGCAGCAGUGAGGAAUAUUGGUCAAUGGUCGCAAGACUGAACCAGCCAUGCCGCGUGCAGGAAGACGGUCCUAUGGAUUGUAAACUGCUUUUAUACAGGAAGAAACCCUCCCACGUGUGGGAGCUUGACGGUACUGUAGGAAUAAGGAUCGGCUAACUCCGUGCCAGCAGCCG
RNAcentral lists this ribosomal RNA (490 nucleotides) under uncultured bacterium. RNAcentral describes it as "bacterial SSU rRNA". It matches the Rfam family "Bacterial small subunit ribosomal RNA", at positions 28 to 517 of the family's 1533-position model. The record is from RNAcentral.